RNAcentral lists this ribosomal RNA (460 nucleotides) under uncultured bacterium. RNAcentral's name for it is "partial 16S ribosomal RNA". It matches the Rfam family "Bacterial small subunit ribosomal RNA", at positions 338 to 795 of the family's 1533-position model. The record is from RNAcentral.
CCUACGGGUGGCAGCAGUGAGGAAUAUUGCACAAUGGACGAGAGUCUGAACCAGCCAAGUAGCGUGAAGGAUGACUGCCCUAUGGGUUGUAAACCUCUUUUAUAUGGGAAUAAAAUGUUCCACGUGUGAGCUUUUGUAUGUACCAUAUGAAUAAGGAUCGGCUAACUCCGUGCCAGCAGCCGCGGUAAUACGGAGGAUCCGAGCGUUAUCCGGAUUUAUUGGGUUUAAAGGGAGCGUAGGUGGAGUGUUAAGUCAGUUGUGAAAGUUUGCGGCUCAACCGUAGAAUUGCAGUUGAUACUGGCAGUCUUGAGUACAGUAGAGGUGGGCGGAAUUCGUGGUGUAGCGGUGAAAUGCUUAGAGAUCACGAAGAAUACCGAUUGCGAAGGCAGCUCACUGGACUGCAACUGACACUGAGGCUCGAAAGUGUGGGUAUCAAACAGGAUUAGAUACCCUAGUAGUC